This 123-nucleotide Y RNA is filed under the name Microcebus murinus (gray mouse lemur). RNAcentral's name for it is "Y RNA (ENSMICG00000023995.3)". It matches the Rfam family "Y RNA". From Rfam's summary of the family: Y RNAs are components of the Ro ribonucleoprotein particle (Ro RNP), in association with Ro60 and La proteins. The Y RNAs and Ro60 and La proteins are well conserved, but the function of the Ro RNP is not known. In humans the RNA component can be one of four small RNAs -- hY1, hY3, hY4 and hY5. Lineage: Eukaryota; Metazoa; Chordata; Mammalia; Primates; Cheirogaleidae. The record is from Rfam by way of RNAcentral.
GGCUGGUCCCCGGUAGGUCUCGGUUUAAAAUGGGACAUUGGUGUUUACAACCAGUUGAUCACGAGCAGUUAGAGAUCCCUUUGUUCCUUCUCCACUCCCACUGCUUCACUUGACCAGCCUUUA